GACGAACGCUGGCGGCGUGCUUAACACAUGCAAGUCGAACGGAAAGGCCCUGCUUUUGUGGGGUGCUCGAGUGGCGAACGGGUGAGUAACACGUGAGUAACCUGCCCUUGACUUUGGGAUAACUUCAGGAAACUGGGGCUAAUACUGGAUAGGAGCUCCUGCUGCAUGGUGGGGGUCGGAAAGUUUCGGCGGUUGGGGAUGGACUCGCGGCUUAUCAGCUUGUUGGUGGGGUAGUGGCUUACCAAGGCUUUGACGGGUAGCCGGCCUGAGAGGGUGACCGGCCACAUUGGGACUGAGAUACGGCCCAGACUCCUACGGGAGGCAGCAGUGGGGAAUAUUGCACAAUGGGCGGAAGCCUGAUGCAGCAACGCCGCGUGCGGGAUGACGGCCUUCGGGUUGUAAACCGCUUUCGCCUGUGACGAAGCGUGAGUGACGGUAAUGGGUAAAGAAGCACCGGCUAACUACGUG
Molecule: ribosomal RNA, 468 nt
Filed under: uncultured bacterium
Lineage: Bacteria
Description: partial 16S ribosomal RNA
Rfam family: Bacterial small subunit ribosomal RNA
Source: RNAcentral